RNAcentral lists this transfer RNA (69 nucleotides) under Oreonectes furcocaudalis. Its description in RNAcentral is "tRNA-Ala". It matches the Rfam family "tRNA". Rfam says of the family: Transfer RNA (tRNA) molecules are approximately 80 nucleotides in length. RNAcentral also lists the same sequence under 2 other names. The record is from RNAcentral. Lineage: Eukaryota; Metazoa; Chordata; Actinopteri; Cypriniformes; Nemacheilidae.
AGGGCCUUAGCUUAAUUAAAGUGUCUGAGUUGCAUUCAGAAGAUGUGAGAUAGAGUCUUGCAGGUCUUA